RNAcentral lists this long non-coding RNA (15733 nucleotides) under Ananas comosus (pineapple). RNAcentral describes it as "long non-coding RNA (ACOM_LNC013216)". The record is from RNAcentral. Lineage: Eukaryota; Viridiplantae; Streptophyta; Magnoliopsida; Poales; Bromeliaceae.
UAGUCACAGCUAUCUAUGAAGGAAGGGUAAGGGAAUAAUGCCGCAGAGAGAAAUCCACAACCAGUGUUGUGGAUGGCAUGGGAUGGUUUAUAUUUUCAAGUGUAUUCAAUUUCCUUUUCCCUGCUUUGUGUGUAAUUAGUUUUUGUCUCCUGUUUGGAAAAAAAAUAUAAUUAAUUGUCUCAUUUGUGUACUUAGUGCCAAAGUUGGAUGAAGUAAAGCUUUAAGUAUGAUUAAACAAUGUUUUUCCGUACCUAAAGAGAUGUUGCAUGAUUACGUGGGAAAAGAACUCUAGGAUUUAAAAAUCCAAGACGAUGACCAACUAUUUGUUUAAGUUGACUAGUCCACAGAUUCUGUGGUAGGCUAUGUUCCCUAUCAAUAAAGAAAUAUGACUUCGUGUAAACCAAUUAUUGUAGCUUUGUGGAAUUUUAACUAUUUAAUUUGACGGUACAACAAAGCCACAUGGCGUGCGGAGGGAAGCCGAAUUCACGUGUUAUGCGGCUGAACAGUUGGGGCUGGGGUAAAAAAAAAAAAAAAAUUUGGCAGAAGAAAAAAAAUAAAGAAAAACAGCUAUAAACCCCUCUACUCUCUCUCUCCCUCAACCCAUCUCUAUCUCCCCCUAUCUAGGGGUGUAAUGUGUGCCGUGCUGAGCCGGCACGACCCAUAUUUUUCGGGCCAAAUCGGGCUAGAGUUCGGCACGGCCUGGCCCAAAUUUAAUUUCGGGCCGGGCCGUGCCGGGUGUAGUGUUUCUGAGCUUUGGAUAUGAUUGACUUCAGUAUUAGUGACUGGUCGACAUAUCUGGAGAGUGUCCGACUGAGUCGAAGUCAUUUUUGCACGAAAUGGAUGCAGAAAUAGACUCGACGCACUCAAAUAAGCAAAACUAGAGUUUUGCCAGAUUCGGGCGCCCAGAAUAGAUUUUGGGUUGCCCAGAACUUGAGUGCAGAAUUGGACAUACUGGAAACCAAUUCGGAUCCGUGUUUCGGGCGCCUGGAUGUAGGUCCGAAAGUUCACCUCGUGAGUACCGUUUGCGUUGACACGUGGCUAGUGGUAGGUGAGGUCCGCCGGAGCCGGUUAUGGGCGUAGUGCACAGCGGGCGGAGGAGCCGAGGGGGCGUUUUUUCUGCAGCCAGGAGGAUUCGAACGCCCAGAAACAGGUUUUGGGCGCUCGAAACUAAAGAUUUCUGCAGGGGUACCAGCUUUGCAGUAUUUAUUCCUGAGGCUUUUUGGACUGCAUCUACACCCUAUAAAUAGGUAGAGUGCUCCUCCUUGCUGUUCUUUUACUCCCUUCUUCACUGAGAAGUCCACUUUAGCAUUCCAACCCUUCUAAAUCACUCAAAUUGCAUCGAAGGUCCACAAAUUCAGCUUGAGGAGUGCUGAUGCUGCAGUUUUCCAACGACGACCUUCGGUGUUUUGGCUCGUGUGCGACAUAGGAAGGUCGGAUUGCGGUGAAACUUGGUUUGCUGGAUUCUAGACUUCCAGAGGAAUCCACGGAAUCUAAUAUUGCAAAUUUUGGUGAAGGUUAGCUUGGUCGAACUCAAGUUCUUCUCUGCUGCUGUUGUUUUGGGCAGAUUUUUCAAGCUUAUUAGUUUUCUUUGAUGCUAUCUUUUGGAGGCCGGGACUCGAGAAUAUUCCUAUAGUCCGCGAGUUUCUAGAUGUAUUUCCCCCUGAGUUGACUAAAAUGCCGUUGGAGAGGGAGAUAGAGUUUGUGAUUGAUGUAAUUCCUGGAACUGCACCAAUCUCGAAGGUGCCUUACCGGAUGGCACGGGCGGAGCUGAGAGAGCUAAAGGCGCAGCUUCAGGAUUUGAUGGAUAAGGGGUAUGUGAGACCCAGUGUGUCGUCUUGGGGAGCGCCGGUGCUGUUUGUGAAGACGAAGGAUGGUUCGCCUAGGUUGUGCGUGGAUUACCGGGAGCUGAAUAAAGUGACCAUCAAGAACAAGUAUACUCUACCACGCAUUGAUGAUUUGUUUGAUCAGCUGCAAGGAUCUUGCAUCUUCUCGAAGAUUGACCUCCAAUCAGGUUACCACCAGUUGAGGGUGAGGGCCGAGAAUGUUCCCAAGACGGCUUUUCAGACUCGGUACGGGCAUUAUGAGUUUACGGUGAUGCCUUUUGGAUUGACGAGUGCCCCUGCCGCAUUCAUGGAUUUGAUGAACAUAGUGUUUAAGCCGUUCUUGGAUAGAUUUGUGGUAGUCUUUAUUUAUGAUAUUCUGAUAUACUCCCGGAGCGAUGCCGAGUAUGAGGAGCACUUGAGGACUGUGCUACAGCUUCUGCGAGAGAAGAAGUUGUAUGCCAAGUUAAAGAAGUGCGAGUUCUGGUUGCGGGAGGUUGCUUUCUUGGGCCACGUGAUAUCUGCGGUUGGAGUGGCAGUGGACCCGAAGAAGAUUGAUGCUAUUCGGGAUUGGCCGAGACCGACGACGGUGACAGAGGUGAGGAGUUUUCUUGGACUUGCUGGUUAUUACCGUCAGUUUGUGGAAGGCUUUGUGAAGCUUUCCACACCACUCACUCUACUGACUCGUAAAGGAAUUAAGUUCAUCUGGAGUGAAGACUGUUAGAGGAGCUUCGAUGAGUUGAGACAGAGGUUGACAUCGGCUCCUAUUCUUGCCCUUCCAGUGAUGGAGGAAAGAUUUGUGAUUUACAGUGAUGCAUCACACAGUGGUUUGGGCUGUGUCUUGAUGUAGCAUGGUAGGGUAAUUGCUUAUGCUUCACGGCAGUUAAAGGAUUACGAGAAGAAUUAUCCUACGCAUGACUUGGAGUUGGCCGCGGUAGUCUUUGCUUUGAAGUUGUGGCGGCAUAACUUGUCUGGCGAGCACUGCGAGGUUUUCACCGAUCACAAAAGUCUCAAGUAUCUGAUCACCCAGAGGGAGUUGAAUCUGAGGCAACGCCGGUGGUUGGAGUUACGGAAGGAUUAUGAUAUUAGUAUUCAGUAUCAUCCCGGUAAGGCGAAUGUGGUGGCAGAUGCGUUGAGCAGGAAGGCAGUGCAGAGCUUGAGCAUGUUGAUCACUUAGCAGAGGCCGUUACUCGAGAAACUGCAGUGGCUGAGGCUCGAGAUAGUGUCCCUUGGAUCUACUGCGAGACUUUUGUCUAUGGUCUUGCAGCCCACUCUGUUGGAUAGGAUCCGAGAAAAACAGAGUGGAGAUCCACACUUGUUGAGGAUUCGAGAGCGGUUCGAAAGGGGACAGACUGAGGGCUUUGUUGUGGACAGUUCGGAAGUACUGCGGUACAGGGACCGACAGUGUGUACCUAUGGAUUCAGAGAUCUGAGAGGAUAUUUUGAGAGAGGCUCACUGUUCACUUUAUACGGUUCACCCCGGUGGAACCAAGAUGUAUAAGGACUUAAAAGCCCAGUUUUUGUGGAAUAGAAUGAAGAGGGACAUUGGCAGAUUUGUGGCUCAGUGUUUGACUUGUCAACAGGUAAUAGCCGAGCAUCAGGUACCUGCUAGCAAGCUUUAGAGUCUGUCAGUGCCCGAGUGGAAGUGGAAGCAAAUCACGAUGGACUUUGUUGUCGGAUUGCCUAGAGCUCAGGGUAGUUUCGAUGCUAUUUGGGUAAUAGUGGACAGAUUCACUAAGUUUGCUCACUUCCUACUAGUUCAAACCACCUUGUCCAGGGAGAGACUCGCUCAACUAUAUCUGGAUGAGAUAGUGAGAUUGCAUGGCGUGCCCACUACGAUAGUAUCAGAUCGAGACCCGAGAUUCGUCUCGCACUUUUGGAGGAGUCCUUAGACGUCCUUGGGCACUCAGUUGCAGUUCAACAAAGCGUUUCGCCCACAGACAGAUGGUUAGUCAAAGCGGACCAUUCAGACUCUUGAGGAUAUGCUGAGGGCAUGUGUCCUGGACUUUGGAGGAGGGUGGUAUCGACAUUUGAGACUGGCUGAGUUUGCGUACAACAACAGCUAUCAAGCGAGUAUCCAGAUGGCUCCGUUUGAGGCGUUGUAUAGACGCAGGUGUCGAUCCCCUUUAUUUUGGAGUGAUGUGGGUGAGAGGAAAACACUUGGGCCUGAGAUUCUGGUUGAGGCUGAGGAAAAGGUGAAAGUGGUGCGACGGCACAUUUUAGCAGUUCAGAGUCGGCAGAGGAGCUAUGCUAAUACCCGGAGACGAGACUUGAAGUUCCAAGUGGGAGAUCAUGUGUUUCUUAAAGUCUCGCCUUCUAAAAGGAUUCGCAGAUUUGGAGUACGUGGAAAGCUCAGUCCAUAUUUUGUAGGCCCUUUUGAGGUAUUGGAGCGAGUCGGGCCAGUUUCUUACAGGAUUGCUCUACCUCCUAGACUAGCCGGUAUUCACGAUGUUUUCCACGUCUCGGCUUUGAGGAGAUAUGUGUUCGACUCCUCCGACGUGAUUGACUUCACUCCGCUUGAGAUUGGCGAGGACCUGAGUUACGAGGAGCGACCGGUGAGGAUUCUGGCUCGUGAGUCGAGAGAAUUGCGCAACCGGAUCAUACCUUUUGUAAAGGUGCAGUGAAGUAAUCACAAGAAGCGGGAGGCGACUUGGGAGCCGGAGACGGUGAUGAGAGAAUCCUACCCCUACCUUUUUGAGGCUCAGGAUUGAGAUAUGAUUCAGUUUCGCGGAUGAAACUUUUUAUAGUGGGGAAGGAUGUAGUGUUUCUGAGCUUUGGAUAGGAUUGGCUUCAGUGUUAGUGACUGGUCGACAUAUCUGCAGAGUGUCCGACUGAGUCGGAGUCGUUUCUGCGCGAAAUGGAUGCAGAAAUGGACUCGGCACACUCAAAUAAGCAAAACUAGAGUUUUGCUAGAUUCAGGCGCCCAGAAUAGGUUUUGGGUCGCCCAGAACUUGAGUGCAGAAUUGGACAGAACUGGAAGCCAAUUCGGAUCCGUGUUUCGGGCGCCCGGAUGUGGGUCCGAAAGUUCAUCUCGUGAGUAUCGUUUGCGUUGGCACGUGGCUAGUGGUAGGUGAGGUCUGCCGAAGCCGGUUAUGGGCGCAGUGCACCGCGGGUGGAGGAACCGAGGGGGGCUUUUUGUCCAGCCAGGAGGAUUCGGACGCCCAGAAACAGGUUUUGGGCGCUCGAAACUGGAGAUUUCUACAAGGGUACUAGCUUUGCAGCAUUUGUUCUUGAGGAUUUUUGGACGGCAUCUACACCCUAUAAAUAGGUAGAGUGCGCCCCCUUGCUGCUCUUUUCCUCCCUUCUUCACAGAGAAGUCCACUUUAGCAUUCCAACCCUUCCAAAUCACUCAAAUUACAUCGAAGGUCCACAAAUUCAGCUUGAGGAGUGCUGACGCUGCAGUUUUUCAGCGACGACCUUCGGUAUUUUGGCUCGUGUGUGACAUAGGAAGGUCGGAUUGUGGUGAAACUUGGUUUGUUGGAUUCUAGACUUCAAAGGAAUCCACAGAAUCUAAUAUUACAGAUUUUGGUGAAAGUUAGCUUGAUCGAACUCAAGUUCUUCUCUACUCCUGUUGUUUUGGGCAGAUUUUUCAAGUUUAUGAGUUUUCUUUGAUGCUAUCUUUGGAGGCAGGGGAAUUUUGGACCCGAGAUUAAUACUCCAUCAUUAUUUACUGGAUUUGAAACUUGCCUUACCUGAAUUGGCGAUUAUUAGGUUAGUUUUGACAUUGGAGUUUAGACAAAUUAAGCUUAAAUGCUGAAAUUUGGUAAAUUGAUGGAUUUUGAUGGAUUUUGAGUGUAGAUCCUUCGAGUAGCUUUGUUGCUGGUUGUGGGUGAUCUCGACUGAGACUUCCAGCAAUUUGUGACCUUCUUGCUGCCAUUGAAUUGCUCUAGAGGUGGGUGUUUCAUCGGUUUCGCCCCUAAGUGCAUGUACUCGACAUGUAUGAUUUCAGUUCUUGUAUAUCAUAUUGUAGCACAAAUUCAUUGAUUGUAGCAUGUAUGAAAUCUGAAUUGGGAGCAUGACUAGUAAUUAGAUGAAUAUACAUGUUGGACUUGGAACUUGACUUAGGAGAAAACCAGCGAUUCGACCUGUCAUAUGAUUCGACUACCUGAUUUAGCUCUAGUAGCCGUGCUUUGAUUGUAUCACUGCUGUUUUAGCGCUGUGGAUACCCGGGAUAGUUUAGAAUGCAUUUACGCUCCUGCUGGGAUGCCGAGCUUAUUUUUACAGUAGAGUCUAGGCUGUUUCAGGUUGUCGGGUGCCGUCGGGGUGGACGGUGGACCCAGAUUUCUAUUUUUGGUCUCAGAUUGUGCCGACGGUACAUGGUUUGGUUUCUAGACCUGUUUUUACCCUAGCUACUUGACUUUGGCUUGUUAGAGCCUGAUUGAGCUCGACAGAGAUACGCUGCAUACUCGGUUGGGUAGAUCCCACAAGUGCCACUCCGGAGACGGGAGCUGUGCUUUUGCAUUGGUGUCGUUCGUGCAAGUUGGACUUGCUUUCCACGGACUGGUUAGUGUGGAGGUAGCUGUAUAGUCGCAACCGGACGGGACGGGUGUGUUCACAGUCCUAGGGACAGGUAUGAUUACAGUCCUUAUUUGAGAUUGGGUCUGAGUUGACACUCUUCUACAAAUGGUUAGAUUUAUUCUAGCUUUCUUUACUAUUCUUGCUUAUCCCUAUAGACUUAGUGGGUGGACCGAUGAGUUUGAGGGCGGUACCCACUGAGGACUACUUGGUUUUACAGUAGUUCUCACGCCUAGUUGUUACCACUAUUUUUGCAGAGCCGUCACCUUCGAUUGCUGCUGUUGCUGAUCUUGAUCGUGGCAAGGGCGUCACGAGUUAAAGCCCUUCCAGUCGAGUCGCAGAGCUAGAGGAGCACCAGCUACAUGUAGUUGUAGUUUUUGGGUCUUUACAUACAGUUGUUGUUUCUCGCCAGAGCGAGUAUUUGUAUGCCUCGGAUGACAUGUAUGUAUUGAACCACCAUUUAUAUAUAUGGUUUAUUUUUCUAGCAGUUCUAUACUACUGUUUGUAGUAUUGUAUGAUUACAGCUAUUUCUACUUUUUCGCUUCGUAUGCAAGGAAAAUAUCUAUGUAUACGGCUGGUCUGUUAGCAAGCCUGGGGAAACGAGUAAUCCGGGGCGUGACAGAGGGCCCAAUUUUUCUAUUCCCUGGCCCGGCACGGCCCUUUGGCCCGGAAGGCACGUGCCGUGCCGUGCCGUGCCGGGCCGUGCUUCGGGCCGGCCAACAAAGUAUUUAUUUUUUAAAAUUUUUUUAAAAAUUUAGUAUGAAAUUUAAAAAUAUAAACAAUAAAUAUUUUUAUUUAAAUUAAUAUUUUGAUUAAAAUAUUAAAAAAAUUAUAAAAAUAAUUAUACUAAAGUAAAUAUUUAAUUUUUUUUAAAAAUAAAUAAAUUUGUAUUAUUUUUUUUUUAAAAAGAAAAAUGUUAUAGACUUUUGGUCCAAUGGACCAAAGACUAAGUUCUCCUCCUAAGGUUUGCUGAGGCAGACCUUGGGAGGACAGCUUCUUCCCAGGAGCUCAGACCCCAUGGCCCAANAAGGCAAUUGCCUUGGGCCAUGGGGUGCGGACCAGGCUGGCACGGCCCAAACGGCCCACACGGGUGCUACAGUACCCGUGCCGUGCUGUGGCCCGGGCCCAGGCCGUGCCGUGCCGGACGGCCCAUGUGCCGCCGGGCCCGUUUUACAUCCCUACCCCUAUCUCUCUCUCCCUUUCUCUCUCUACCUAUCCCCACUUUCUCCUCUCUCUCUCCCCUACAACUGGCAUUUCUCUUAACCCACCUCCUCUCUUUCUCUCUUUGACGAUUCCUCUAUCUCUCUCACUAGCUCUCUCUCAACCCUUUUCCCCUCUCUCUCACUAACUCCCUCUCUCUCCAAAUGGCUCCCCCCACUCUCUCUUUAUUAUGCCCUUUCUCUCUCCCCUCUCUCUCCCAUCAAAACCCCUCUCCCAUCAAAAUCCCUCAUUUGCAAGGGAAUCGGGUUUCGGCUGCGGCGACGACAGCGGCAAUCACGGCGGCGGCGAUGGUUAGGCGGUCACGGCGACGACGACGUCUUGGGCGGCGACGGAGAGCGUCGUUGUCGACGUCGGUGUCGUCGUCGUAGAGAGGAGGCGGAGGAUGAGGAGGUGGUGGCGGACAGAGGAGGAGGAGGAAGAGGAGGAGGAGGAAGAGGAGAAGGAGAGGAAUGUAUCAUUGUUGCGAGGAGGUGGCAAUGAGGAGGGAGGAGAGAGACGAUGAGGGGGUUUUGGGUUUUUUAGAAUGUAGAAAUGUAGCUUGUUUUUUUAUUAUUAUUAUUAACUGGGCCCAAAUGAAGCCUAUCGAAGAAUUUUCUACUGGGUCGGACCUUCACAAUAAUGGGUUUGGCAUCGAAAAGGUUCAAGCCACGUCUCUUAGGGUUCAUUUGUUACUGAGUCUGAUCUGACGAGAAUAGGGUUUUUAAAUGUAUUAUGGGACUAUUUGGUUUUUUAAUGAAUUUUUAAAAAUAAAUUUUCGACAUUGACAUUAAAUAUUUUUUCUUAAAUUUUUUUUCCUGUAAAUUUACAUAAUUUUUAAAAAUUUUAAUUUUAAAAAAAUAAUUAGCAAAAUUAUAUUUGAUUUAUGUGCCUUCUUUUAAAAUUUAACAUUUUAUAUAUAUAUAUAUAUAUAUAUAUAUAUAUAUAUAUAUAUAUAUAUAUAUAUAUAUAUNNNNNNNNNNNNNNNNNNNNNNNNNNNNNNNNNNNNNNNNNNNNNNNNNNNNNNNNNNNNNNNNNNNNNNNNNNNNNNNNNNNNNNNNNNNNNNNNNNNNCAAAGUGGAAGCACGGAGUGCUCCGUGCUUCCAUAAGCAUACCAGACGCACUAUAUAUAUAUAUAGAGAGAGAGAGAGUUGAGUUAGAAUACUAUCGAUAGUAAACAGGCUCCGUUGACACCCAUUUGUUUUCGAUGAUAGAGCCUCCAAAUUGACGAUCGGCACCGUUGAACAUAAUCUAUACCACUUGAAAUAUUUAGAAAUCAAAUUUCAAAUCUUUUCAACAUCAUUUGCCUAAUGAUCAAAGGGUUUCAAAAUUUGUAAUUUUAAUGGUCGAUAUGAGGCGUUUUUUCGUUUAACGGCGUAAAAAUAAACAAAUCAAUUGAAUUUUUGUUAGAAAUUUUUUAAAACUAUUUAAAACAAGAUCUAUACUCUUGAUCUUGAUUACAAGACUCCUAUCAUGAUUUUUUAAAGAAUAUUCAUUUUCAGCCGCUCAUUUUUGUGUCUACUUGAUGGAUAAGAGAAAAAUAUCGAAAAUGUAUGAAAUUUGAUUUCUAAAUACUUCAAGUGGUAUAGAUCAUGUUCAACGGUGCCGAUCGUCGAUUUGGAAAGCUCCAUCGGAAAACAAAAGGUGCAACAGGAUCCCGUUGCUAUCGAUAUAUUCUAGCUCAACUCUAUAUUUAGUCGUCUAUUAUACUCUUAUGUGUAUAGACUCUUUGAUUUUCUUAUAAUUUCGGGGACCGGUAGAUUUACCCCUUUGAUCAUUUCCAUCGUCAACAACUCAAACCCUCACUCACCCUAGAAUCCCCUACAUCCUAUACCGACAUUCUUUUCAUACACACACAGAAAAUUUAAUAAGUACAAAGAUUCUAUUAACUAUAGUAGCUAUAAUAUAUCUAUCUAUAUAUAUAUAAAAAGAGAUAGAGAAGAGAAGAGCGAGAGAGAGAGAGAGAGAAUAGAAGAAGAGUCGCUGCUAUACUAUCGGUAGCACUGGCUAAAAAUGAACGUACGUGAAAAUAAAAAUCAAAUAAAAAUGAUGAUAAAAGCCUUAUUAAGAAUAAGACUGUCUUAACCUACUAAUAGUAAAAAUAAUCCUAUACAAAAUUACAUCUGAUUUGGUUUUUACCCGUUAAUUAACAAUACAUAAUCUAACCAUUAAAAAUUGUCAAUUUUUGAGACUUUGAUACAACCAAAUAUUCGAAAAAAUUAUUUCUGAAAUUAGUCUUCCGAAUACUCAAUAUUGAGAUCAAGUCUAACGAGCCGAUCGUGCAUUUUGGAGGCCUGAUCAUACGAAAAACAACUUACACGAAGCCUCCGUGCUAAUCGAUAGUAUAGCACUGAUCUCUCUCAUCGUCAUCUCUCUCUCUCUCUCUCUUCGCUCUCCUCUCUCUCUAUCUCUCUCUAUAAUAUAAAUUAAAUUAUAUAUAUAUAUAAUAAGUCUAGCUAUUGCGCUGCUAAAAGCACAAUACAUAUGCUUGUAAAUUCUUUGCCGUUAGAUUUACCAUUGAUCAUUUUCAAUCCGUAGAUUUAUACUAUUCAACCAACCACCCACUCAACCCUAAAGACUCAUAUCAUACUAACACGCACACAUUUCUCAUCCUAAGGCUUAAAAAACUAAUACACUAAUAGUUCGGUGCUAUUAAUAUAUUCCACCUAGUUUCUAUAAUAGCACCAAUGUUGUGCAUUAAUAUAUUCAACCAUAGUCUAUAUAUAUAAUAAUAUUAUAUAUAUAUAUAUAUAAAAAAAUAUUAAUAUUAUAUGAUGUUAUAUUUAAAUUUGUGUUUUAAAAUUUUAAAUUUAGUGUAAUAUGUUUUUAAGUAUGAUAAAGAGAAAUAAUUGCUUUGAGAUCAAGUUUUUGGGUUUGGAUUCAGAUUUCACAUUUUCAUUCAGAUUCAGUUUUGGAUAUGAAUAUUUAAAAUUUCUCGGAUCCGAAUUUGAAUUCAAAUUUUAGGUUCUAUAGUCGAAUUUGAAAAAUCCAUCUGAAUCCGAUCAGUUAGGAUCCCCGGCCCGUAGGAAUUAAAAAAACCCGGAGCAGAUGGCCACGAAGCCACCAACCUUUUAUAAAUUUAAGUUUAAAAUUAGAGAGAGCAUAGGACAAAAGAGUAAGUUAUAUGGGUACAACCAAAUCAAUUGUUUGGUUUAAUUAUUAAUUAAUUAGUUUCAUGUAAUAUAUAUAAUAAGAACUAUGUAUAAUAAUUUCCUAGAUUUGCUCUUAUACCUACUUAAUAAUUUAUGAAAAUAAAAUAAAAUUUUAAAUCGAACUUGUAAAAUUUAUAAUUUUAAAUUUUAAAAGUGAAAGUUAAAUUCAUUAUGUGUUGUUGGUUCAAAUCUCAAUUUGUAUUUGAAUUCAAAAUUUUGAUUCGAAUCUAAUAAAAAAUUCUAAAUACAAAUUAAAAUUUUAUGAUCAAAAUAUAAAUUCAAAUUUGAGUUCUUCACUCGAGGGAUAUUGCUGGAUCAGACUUUCACCAAUUGUCUAAAAUUUUCGAAUGCCGUCCCUUGUGGGAAUCAUUCAAAGGACUUUUAGUAAUUUAAUUAAACCUAAAAAGAUUUCAAUGAUAAAUUAAACUCAAAUUUAAAUUUUGAGCCCAAUUGUUGAAUUAAAGGUGUAUGUCUAAUCUUGAAUUCAAAUUUGCAACCACUUUUGAAUUCAUAGGAAUUCCAAUAAUUUAAUUAAAACCAAAAAACUCAAAUUAAACUCAAAUUUAAGCUUCUGAGCUCGAGUGUUAAAUUCAAACAGUACACUUAACCCUUGCAUUCGAACUUUGAGUUUAAUUUUGAAGGACUCCUUAGUAAUUUAAUUAAAACAAAAAAAUUUAAAAUAAAAAAUUAAACUCAAAAUUUAAAGUUUGAGCUCAAAUUAAUAUUGAAUUCACGUUGUAUGCUUAACUCUUGAAUUCUAAUUGCAAUUUAAAUUAUUCCAAAUCUAAAUUCUGCAUCUAAAUUAUGAAUUUAAAAGUAAACUUAGAGUUUUGAUUCAAAAAACUUCUACUUCUUUAAUUUGAAUUUAAGCUUAACCUAAAUUUAUAGGGUAAAUGACACUUUUGGUUCUCAAACUUUGAGGCAUGUAUCACUUAUACUUCUCAUACUUUAUUUUGUUGCACUUACUUACUCGAACAUUUUAAAUUAUAUUCCACAAUCCAAAUUAAGUGGCCAAAUAUUGACGAAUUGUUAGUGUAAAAGUAACGUAGCAGUGUUGUGAUAGAUGAUACGACAAUAAUGUCUCCACGGGCCGAUCUUGUGGAAUAGCAUUGACUCGCAUUGAUUGCGGGCUGUACGAGAGCUGGCAAUCCAGCUUGCUAUUCAUGAGCCAACUUAUGUUCGACUCGAAAAUGAGCUCGAGAUCGAUCGCUUGUUUAAUAAAUGAAUUAAACAUAAACUACGGUAUGCUUGUUCAUGUUUGGCUCGAUAUAGCUCGAGCAUAUAGAUGCGGGCCGCUGUACGGUGUCUUGCGGCUGGUCGAGUAGCACGCGGUCCUGCCGUGGGCCGUCUCGCAGCAGCCUGUAAAUGUUUUGGGCCAAUCAGUAUAAACAUGGGCCUAUGUUUCUAAGCCUGUGUGUUUUGGGCCAACAUUAGAAACAUGGGCCUAUGUUUCUAAGGCGGUAUAUUUACAAUGAAUCUUAGGCAUUGUUUAGUAUUGCGGCCUUUAUAUUAUUUUCUAAAUAGUAAUUUUAUAUGAAACAGUGUAGAAGAAAAUAAUGGAUUACUCAUAAUCUUCCAUUCAAAAUUUUUGUUUGGUAAUAAAGAAAAGAAGAAAAUUGUUUAGUAUUGCCACCCUUUUGUUUUCAAUAAUAGAGCCUCCAAAUCGACGAUCGGCACUAUUGAACAUAAUCUACACCACUUGAAAAAACUAGAAAUCCAAUUUCAAAUCCUUUCGACAUCAUUGACCUAAUGUUCAACGAAUUUCAAAAUUUGUAAAUUUAAUGGUCGAUAUAAGAUAUUUUCUCGUUUAACGACAUAAAGAUAUCCAAAUCAAUUGAAUUUUGAUUAGAAAAUUAUUUAAACUAUUUAGAACAAGAUCUACAAUCUUGAUUACGGGACUUCUAUUAUCACUUUUUAAAGGAUAUACAUUUUUAGCCGUUCAUUUUUGUGUCCACUUGAUGGACAAGAAGACAAUAUCGAAAAAAAUAUAAAAUUUGGUUUCUAAAUGCUUCAUGUUGUAUAGAUCACGUUCAACGAUGCUGAUCGUCAAUUUGGUGGCUUCAUCAUCGAAAACAAAUGGGCGGCAACGGAACCCAUUUGCUACCGAUAGUAUUCCAGCUCAACUCUCUUUCUCUAUAUAUAUAUAUGUAUAAAGAGAGAGAGAGAGAGAGAGAGAUUUCGGCUACUAUACUAUCGAUAGUAUCAAGCUCUUGGUACUAUCAAGUUUUCUGCCGUUAAAUUUACUAUUUAAUCAUUUUCAUUCGCUAGAUUAUACAAUUCAACUAACCACUUACUGAACCCUAGGGGACCACUAUGAUCCUAGCCGCAUAUCCUUUCAUCCAACGACCAAAAACUCGAUAGCAUCAAGCGCUUGCGCUUGGUACUAUCGAUAGUAUAGUAGCAUAUAUAUAUAUAUAUAUAUAUAUAUAUAUAUAUAUAGAGAGAGAGAGAGAGAGAGAGAGAGAGAGAGAGAGAGAGAGAGAGAGAGAGAGAGAGCAGGACUGCUGUACUCUCAGGCGCUCCUGAGUCGUUUUCGAUGAUGAAAUUUCCGAAUCGACGAUCGGUUCCGUUAAACUUGAUCUAGCGUAUUUGAAGUUUCUAGAAAAUAAUUUUUGCGAUUUUUUGAUAUCAUUUACCUAGUGAUCGAAAGGUUUCAAAAUCCAUAAUUUUUAAUGGUUGAUAUCUGCCGUUUUCAAGUUUAACGGUGUAGAAGUAUUCAAAUCAGAUGAAAUUUUGAUACAAAAUUCUUUAUACUAUCUACAACAAGAUCAAUAUUUCUGAUCGAAAAUUUUAGUGCUAUAUCACCACUUUUUAUAGAAUUUUUAUUUUCAGCCGUUAAAAAUUAUUGAUUUUGAAUCCUUUUGAUUGCUAGGUAAAUGAUAUCGAAAAAUCGUAAAAAUUAUUUUCUAGAAACUUCAAAUACGCUAGAUCAAGUCUAACGGAGCCGAUCGUCGAUUCGAAAAUUCCAUCAUCGAAAACGGCUCAGGAGCACGAAGGCCUCCGUGCUCCUAAUUAAGAGCACAGCAGCCCUAUAUAUAUAUAUAUAUAUGUAUAUAUAUAUAUAUAUAUGUAUAUGUAUAUAUAUAUAUAUAUAUAUAGUCUGCUAUUAGGAGCACGGAGGUCUCUGUGCUCCUAAGUCGUUUUCGAUGAUAGGGUUUCCGAAUCGACGAUCAGCACUAUUUGACUUGAUCAAGCAUAUUUGAAGUAUUUAGAAAAUAAAUUUUACAACUUUUCGAUAUCAUUUACCUAGCGAUCAAAAGGGUUCAAAAUAAAUAAUUUUUAAUAGUUGAUGUAUAUCGUUUGUAAGUUUAACGGUAAAGUAGUACUCAAAUCAUGUGAAAUUUUGAUAAAAUUUUUUUUAUACUAUUUAUUGCAAUAUCAAUAUUUCUGAUAAAAAAUUUUAGUGUUAUAUUAUCAUUUUUUGUGAGAUUUUUAUUUUCAGCCGUUGAUUUUGAACUCUUUCGAACUCCGAACAGGUUUUUAUUUGAUAUUUACAAUUCUUAUGAAGGUGAGAUGUCACUUUUGCAAGAAAAAGGGCCUUGUGAAAGAAAAAAGAGAAGAGGAAAGGCUUGGCUGCGGAAACAAGAUUCUUCCGCAAAUACAGUGAGCAUAGCCAACGACACUAGCUAGCUAGGAUGUUUUUAUGGUUUCUAUAUGUUCAGAAUGCCUUAGUGACUGGAUAUUGGAUUCGGAUUUUUUCUUAUCACAUGACUCUGGAUAGAUCUUUAUUUGAUAUUUACAAUUCUUAUAAAGGUGAUAGUGUUAUGAUGGGUAAUACCAGUAGUUGUAAGAUAAUCGGUAUCGGAACAGUAAAAAAAAAAAAAAAUGUUUGAUAGUGUGGUGCGGAUGUUAACAGAUAUGAGACAUAUUUUGGGUCUCAGGUUGAAUCUUAUAUCACCUCAUACUCUUAACAUAUUGAUUGUUCUGGUAUCAUUUUAGAUAGAGUCGUCAAGGUGAAAAGAGUGCUAUGAUGGUCAUGUUGGAAGAGAAUAAAGAGAAUCUGUACAAGUUUAUCAUUGAGCUAGUAACAGCGAAUAAGUCUAGGCAUUCUCUAGAAUUUGCUAACCUGCAUGAUUGUUAAUGUCGGGAUGUCUUAGGGAGUGGGCGAUAAGAUGAGAGAGAGUGAUGAAGUAAAAAAAAAGAACAGAGUGUAGAAUAUUAAAGAUAUGGCUUCUUUUUUUAUUGAUUUAAUUCAUGCAUCGGGUCUACGGAAUAAUUAGAUAAUUAAAAUAUCAAGUUGAUUCCAUAGAAGACUCUAUAUUCAAUGUUGACAUUGAAGUAGAGUAGGAUUGGACUAAUGAAUCUAUACGUAUAUAUGCAUGUAAUGUGAACCGUGUGGUUGGGAGUAGAGAGGUUUAAUUAAUUAGCGUAAGGUGAGGCUAAUUAAUUAAAAGGUGACCGGCUUUCUUCAUGUUCGAAACCUCUUUGGAUCGGACAUUUUGUAAAGAUAUACAAAUAGAUAAUUAAUAAUUCUCAAUAAUCUAAAAUAAGUUAAAAAUUAAAUUAAUUAAAAAAAGACACGAAAAUAUGAUAUAUAAUUGUUACACCAAAUGAUGAUAGUGAUACCCAUGUGAAUCCCUAAUUAACUUUUAUUUAUAAUGCAUGCAUAGAGAAUACUUAAUAAAAUAAUUGCCCCAUUGCAUGCAUCUUAAAGAACCCAAACCGCUAUAUUCUUUUACUUCCAUUAAAAAAUUCAUGAUCAACUGUAGUCCUUAAGAUCUAAGAAUCGCAUGUCUCUAUUUUAGGUUUCGACGAUUGAUUUUCUGCACAAUUUUAACUAGAUAAUUUCUCUCUUUGAAGCUGCGUUAAGGUAAGCAACCGGACACCUAUUAGUUUUUGUAAAAUAAUUUAUGAAAUACUUUGAUUGUGUGAAGAUCUUUAUUUUGUAUGAGCAUUGAAAUUUUCAUUUAUUAUUUAAAUUUCCGUUCAUGUUAUCUUCUUGGAAUAAUUUAAAUUCGUCAAAAAUUCCUUCAUCCCUUUGAUCGCUAUUAAAGGUUCGUCGAAUUUAUUAUUCUAAAUUCCUUUGUGCUCCGUCCCGACCCAUUUGCAU